UCUUGAUCUGAUAAUGCCAACAUUCCUGCCAUACCUGACUCUGGUUCCGAUGCUUGUUCAGGUCUUCAAACUAUACUUUUUGACUUUCAA
Non-coding RNA from Ceratotherium simum simum (southern white rhinoceros), 90 nucleotides. Lineage: Eukaryota; Metazoa; Chordata; Mammalia; Perissodactyla; Rhinocerotidae. The record is from RefSeq and is a predicted model, not a curated record.